This 467-nucleotide ribosomal RNA is filed under the name uncultured bacterium. RNAcentral's name for it is "partial 16S ribosomal RNA". It matches the Rfam family "Bacterial small subunit ribosomal RNA", at positions 28 to 506 of the family's 1533-position model. The record is from RNAcentral.
GACGAACGCUGGCGGCGUGCUUAACACAUGCAAGUCGAACGGAAAGGCCCUGCUUUUGUGGGGUGCUCGAGUGGCGAACGGGUGAGUAACACGUGAGUAACCUGCCCUUGACUUUGGGAUAACUUCAGGAAACUGGGGCUAAUACCGGAUAGGAGCUCCUGCUGCAUGGUGGGGGUUGGAAAGUUUCGGCGGUUGGGGAUGGACUCGCGGCUUAUCAGCUUGUUGGUGGGGUAGUGGCUUACCAAGGCUUUGACGGGUAGCCGGCCUGAGAGGGUGACCGGCCAAAUGGGGACUGGGAAACGGCCCGGACCCCAACGGGGGGAAGAGGGGGGGAAUAUUGCACAAUGGGCGGAAGCCUGAUGCAGCAACGCCGGGGGGGGGAGGACGGCCUUCGGGUUGUAAACCGUUUUCCCCUGGGACGAAGCGGGGGGAAGGGAAAUGGGAAAAAAAGCACCGGCAAAUUACGG